GACGAACGCUGGCGGCGUGCUUAACACAUGCAAGUCGAACGGAAAGGCCCUGCUUGCAGGGUACUCGAGUGGCGAACGGGUGAGUAACACGUGGGUGAUCUGCCCUGCACUUCGGGAUAAGCCUGGGAAACUGGGUCUAAUACCGGAUAGGAGCCAUUUUUAGUGUGAUGGUUGGAAAGUUUUUUCGGUGUAGGAUGAGCUCGCGGCCUAUCAGCUUGUUGGUGGGGUAAUGGCCUACCAAGGCGGCGACGGGUAGCCGGCCUGAGAGGGUGGACGGCCACAUUGGGACUGAGAUACGGCCCAGACCCCUACGGGAGGCAGCAGUGGGGAAUAUUGCACAAUGGGCGCAAGCCUGAUGCAGCGACGCCGCGGGGGGGAUGACGGCCUUCGGGUUGUAAACUCCUUUCGCUAGGGACGAAGCUUUUUGUGACGGUACCUAGAUAAGAAGCACCGGCUAACUACGUG
RNAcentral lists this ribosomal RNA (465 nucleotides) under uncultured bacterium. RNAcentral's name for it is "partial 16S ribosomal RNA". It matches the Rfam family "Bacterial small subunit ribosomal RNA", at positions 28 to 507 of the family's 1533-position model. The record is from RNAcentral.